GAUGAAGAACGUAGCGAAAUGCGAUAAGUAAUGUGAAUUGCAGAAUUCAGUGAAUCAUCGAAUCUUUGAACGCACAUUGCGCCCGCUAGUAUUCUGGCGGGCAUGCCUGUCCGAGCGUCAUUUCAACCCUCAAGCCCCCGGGCUUGGUGUUGGGGAUCGGCGAGCCUCCGCGCCCGCCGUCCCCUAAAUCUAGUGGCGGUCCCGCUGUAGCUUCCUCUGCGUAGUAGCACACCUCGCACUGGGAAACAGCGCGGCCACGCCGUUAAACCCCCAACUUCUGAACGUUUGACCUCGGAUCAGGUAGGAAUACCCGCUGAACUUAAGCAUAUCAAUAAGCGGAGGA
This 343-nucleotide unclassified non-coding RNA is filed under the name soil metagenome. RNAcentral describes it as "partial contains 5.8S ribosomal RNA, internal transcribed spacer 2, and large subunit ribosomal RNA". The stretch from base 1 to 120 matches the Rfam family "5.8S ribosomal RNA", at positions 35 to 154 of the family's 154-position model. The record is from RNAcentral.